Molecule: transfer RNA, 72 nt
Filed under: Streptococcus pneumoniae 2061617
Lineage: Bacteria; Bacillati; Bacillota; Bacilli; Lactobacillales; Streptococcaceae
Description: tRNA-Val
Rfam family: tRNA
About the family: Transfer RNA (tRNA) molecules are approximately 80 nucleotides in length.
Source: RNAcentral
GGGAGUUUAGCUCAGCUGGGAGAGCAUCUGCCUUACAAGCAGAGGGUCAGCGGUUCGAUCCCGUUAAUCCCA